GUGGGGAAUCUUCCGCAAUGGACGAAAGUCUGACGGAGCGACGCCGCGUGAGUGAAGAAGGCCUUCGGGUCGUAAAGCUCUGUCAUCAGGGACGAACGGCCGGUGUAGUGGAAAGCCACCGGAUUGACGGUCCCUGAGAAGGAAGCCACGGCUAACUACGUGCCAGCAGCCGCGGUAAUACGUAGGUGGCAAGCUUUGUCCGGCAUUAUUGGGCGUAAAGCGGGCUCAGGUGGGAUCUUAAGUCCAUUUUGAAAGGUCGGAGCUCAACUCCGUGAUGGGAUGGAAACUGGGAUUCUUGAGUACCGGAGAGGAAAGCGGAAUUCCCCGUGUAGCGGUGAAAUGCGUAGAUAUGGGGAGGAACACCAGUGGCGAAGGCGGCUUUCUGGACGGUGUCUGACACUGAGGCGCGAAAGCUAGGGGAGCGAACGGGAUUAGAAACCCCUGUAGUCC
This 450-nucleotide ribosomal RNA is filed under the name uncultured bacterium. Its description in RNAcentral is "partial 16S ribosomal RNA". It matches the Rfam family "Bacterial small subunit ribosomal RNA", at positions 354 to 796 of the family's 1533-position model. The record is from RNAcentral.